AAUGGAAGGCCGGGGGGCGGCGGGGGGUGGGGGUAGGGGUGUGUGUGUGUGUGUGUGUAGGGGUGUGUGUGGUGUGUGUGUGUGUGUGUGUGUGUGUGUAUAUAUAUAUAUAUAUAUAUAUAUAUAGGGUGCUCGGCGCCUGCGCACUAGCUCCAAGCCGCGCACCCGCCCGCAGGGUGGAGAGGAGGCCGCGGGUACCGCGCUGUCCUGGGAAAAGGCGGGAAACAGAGGAACCUCGAGGCUCGCGCAUGCGCACACACUCUGGCGCGGGGUGGCGGGGGAGGGAGUGGAGAGGCUUUGGUUGUGGCAGAGCUGUGAUGAGGGCAUCCCUUGUGACUGGGUUCGGGAGGCCCAGAGAAACACCAGAAAUACCAUCCUGUCUCUCCUCCCCACUCUUCCGAAACACACAAUGAGCCCUGGCACUGAGAGACACCAUGACACUCUUCUCCUCAGUCCUGAGAGAGACGACUCAGCGCUUCCAGGGGAUACAGACCCCUGGGCUGAGACCCGCCAUUCACCAGCCUUCGGACUAACGGCUUCCUAACGCCUUCAGCUCCUGGAUUGGGGCUGCAUUGUUUUCUCCCCCUCUGGCUGUGUCGCCAUAUGUUCCCUGGAGUGAACUUGCAGCCGUUCUCUUGCAGAGCAGGGCUUCUGAGCCCAGAGAAGGAGUUCAGGGCCGAGCCUGCUCCCCGGGGGCACCCACCAUCAUUAGCUUUGGAGGAGGAGAAGGGGCAGGGUGCUGUCUCCAGCGGAGUCUCAUGCCCACGACCCACCCACACCGCCGCCUGAGUCUCCCUCUGUGCCCGCAGCCCAGACCUGGCCUGGGAUUUGGCAGAGCCCAAGCACCUCUCCUGAGCCUCCUGCUUCCUGAGAUCACACCCUACGAGGCCGUGGGCCUGGUGGGACCGGGACUCCCCAGGGACGAGUGUCUUCCAGCCUACUGGACACCCCGGAGAGCUGAAGGGCCGUCCCCGCCCGAUGUCCGGCCUUGCCUGCGUGGCAACCCGCCCAGGGUCAGGCGGUGCCAGCUAGGAAACUUGGCUUUCCUGGUUUCUUUCAGGUAAGUAAACUUAAGCCUGGGUCUGUAGAGGGCACAGGAAAAGACUGUUAGGAGAAGGCAUUAGAGGGCACAGUAAUUCUGGCGAUAAUGUUUUGUUUUUUGUUUUUUUUGAGAAUACUAGAAUGGUUUAGGGAUUAGGGACUGUGAUGGGGAGCCUGAGGUGGAAGAAGAGCAUCUUCUAGGUGUGCUCACGGCCUUGUAGACUGAGAAUGUUUCAUUGGGAGGGUGGGGCCUCAGAGCGCCUAUUAAAAGCAGAGCAAAGCUUGCCAGCUGACAUUGUCUGAGAAAUUGCUGUCAGGCUCUGGAGGGCUUGGUUGGCUUCCUGUGGUGUCUUUGGUGUCCUAGGGUGAAAAGAAAAGGGAGAGACUGCUGUUAACAUUUUUAGAAUUUAAUUUUAAUGAGAGCUUUUAAAAU
RNAcentral lists this long non-coding RNA (1474 nucleotides) under Cervus hanglu yarkandensis (Yarkand deer). RNAcentral describes it as "lncRNA (ENSCHYG00000000053.1)". The record is from RNAcentral. Lineage: Eukaryota; Metazoa; Chordata; Mammalia; Artiodactyla; Cervidae.